CUUAUCAUCUACAAUCAGACUGAAAUGAAACUUCGUUUUCGAAAGUUGAGAAGGAAUUCCAGCCCAUGUUUAUUUCAAUCGUGAAUUAUCAAACAUAAUAAAUUUCAUGUGGUCGACUCGAGCAUUCAUUUGAAUGGCGCAAGCGUUGUCUUCAUCGAUUCAAAAUAUAGAGAUGGCCAUGACCUACGAUUCAUCAGUUUUCUCCAGGUUUCUAACCUCACUAUUUUUUACGCGUUCAAUUUUCACUGUCACAAUUAUAUAGUGCAUUCAAUAAUUACGUUUGUUAUCUGUUCAGUGAACAAAUGUUUUUAAUCAAGAGGCUUAGGCAACCAUGAAUGUGAAACCUCUCAAUGAGGAAGCAGUACAAAGUACACAACUAAACGUUCAAACACAAUUAUCCCGCAUAUCGUACUGGUAUGUCCAUCUUACAAAACAUUCCACAACGCGCCGACUUAGACCUUAGACUAGCUGACUAGCUCGUGUCGAUGGCGAAUUACCAUUGAGAAAAAACAAAACAUAAAAACCCUGACAGUCCACCGGCCGGCUAGACAUCGAAAGUUGAAAUUCAAACAUUAAGUAAGCGCGGGCCGGUUUUUAGUAGUUGCCGCCAAGGUUGUUGUCCGUUUCUUCGGCUGUUUACCUGGUUCAGGCGUGCAAGAAGAAUACAAAAAUGGUAGUAGUGCCUGUAGUACCGGAGUUGUGAGACUGCAAGACAUGCCUCCAUAGUGUGAACGGUGAAGUGAAUGUUGCCGCGUUCAGAUAGAAAAUUGUGUGCAUUUUUUCGUGUAAGUGUGGAAUUGGCGGGAUUUUGUGUUACUGGUAUGAGUCGGGACAGAUUAAAUUGUAAGUAAUCACAUGCUAUAUUUUUUGUAAUAGUUUACAUGUGUUAAACUCGAAGCUUAAACCUAUACAGGUUAUAUUUUUUGUUUACAUCAUAAGAUUCUGGGAUAAGUGAAACGUAAUGUGCAAUGACCUCGGUGUACCUGCAAGAUAUUGCACUCGGUAGGUUUUUUAUAUAUUUGAACAUGAGAUCUGACCGUCUGUUUCGAUUAAUUAAUUGAUUAUAAAUACAACCAGUU
Leptinotarsa decemlineata (Colorado potato beetle) is the source of this 1079-nucleotide long non-coding RNA. Lineage: Eukaryota; Metazoa; Arthropoda; Insecta; Coleoptera; Chrysomelidae. The record is from RefSeq and is a predicted model, not a curated record.